GGGGAAUAUUGGACAAUGGGCGAAAGCCUGAUCCAGCCAUGCCGCGUGUGUGAAGAAGGUCUUCGGAUUGUAAAGCACUUUAAGUUGGGAGGAAGGGCAUUAACCUAAUACGUUAGUGUUUUGACGUUACCGACAGAAUAAGCACCGGCUAACUUCGUGCCAGCAGCCGCGGUAAU
This 176-nucleotide ribosomal RNA is filed under the name uncultured bacterium. RNAcentral describes it as "partial 16S ribosomal RNA". It matches the Rfam family "Bacterial small subunit ribosomal RNA", at positions 356 to 524 of the family's 1533-position model. The record is from RNAcentral.